This 253-nucleotide ribosomal RNA is filed under the name uncultured bacterium. RNAcentral describes it as "partial 16S ribosomal RNA". It matches the Rfam family "Bacterial small subunit ribosomal RNA", at positions 524 to 776 of the family's 1533-position model. The record is from RNAcentral.
UACGGAGGGUGCUAGCGUUGUUCGGAAUUACUGGGCGUAAAGCGCGUGUAGGCGGCUUGGCAAGUCGGUUGUGAAAUCCCCGGGCUUAACCCGGGAACUGCAAUCGAAACUACCUAGCUAGAGUCUCGGAGAGGAAGGCAGAAUUCCCAGUGUAGGGGUGAAAUCCGUAGAUACUGGGAGGAAUACCGGUAGCGAAGGCGGCCUUCUGGACGAUGACUGACGCUCAGACGCGAAAGCGUGGGGAGCAAACAGG